RNAcentral lists this ribosomal RNA (594 nucleotides) under Puntius sp. FB-4. RNAcentral's name for it is "partial 16S ribosomal RNA". It matches the Rfam family "Bacterial large subunit ribosomal RNA", at positions 1816 to 2611 of the family's 2925-position model. Lineage: Eukaryota; Metazoa; Chordata; Actinopteri; Cypriniformes; Cyprinidae. The record is from RNAcentral.
CGCCUCCUGCAACACAAUUAAGUAUAGGAGGUCCAGCCUGCCCAGUGACUAUAAGUUUAACGGCCGCGGUAUUUUGACCGUGCAAAGGUAGCGCAAUCACUUGUCUUUUAAAUAAAGACCUGUAUGAAUGGCUAAACGAGGGCUUAACUGUCUCCCUUUUCAAGUCAGUGAAAUUGAUCUGCCCGUGCAGAAGCGGACAUAACUAUACAAGACGAGAAGACCCUAUGGAGCUUAAGGCAUAAAAUUCAACCACGUCAAAUAACUCUAUAAAAAGCUAUUAAACCUUAUGGUAAAUGAAAUCAUGCCUUCGGUUGGGGCGACCAUGGAGGAAAGAAAAGCCUCCAAGUGGACUGGGAUAUAUUCCCAAAACCAAGAAAGACAUUUCUAAGCCACAGAACAUCUGACCAAUAAUGAUCCGGCUUAUGCAGCCGAUCAACGAACCAAGUUACCCAAGGGAUAACAGCGCAAUCCUCUCCCAGAGUCCAUAUCGACGAGGGGGUUUACGACCUCGAUGUUGGAUCAGGACAUCCUAAUGGUGCAGCCGCUAUUAAGGGUUCGUUUGUUCAACGAUUAAAGUCCUACGUGAUCUGAGUA